CAGCCGCCCGGUAAUACAGAGGGUGCGAGCGUUAAUCGGAUUUACUGGGCGUAAAGCGUGCGUAGGCGGCUUCUUAAGUCGGAUGUGAAAUCCCUGAGCUUAACUUAGGAAUUGCAUUCGAUACUGGGAAGCUAGAGUAUGGGAGAGGAUGGUAGAAUUCCAGGUGUAGCGGUGAAAUGCGUAGAGAUCUGGAGGAAUACCGAUGGCGAAGGCAGCCAUCUGGCCUAAUACUGACGCUGAGGUACGAAAGCAUGGGGAGCAAACAGGAUUAGAUACCCCCGUAGUCCCUGUCUCUUAUACA
Molecule: ribosomal RNA, 301 nt
Filed under: uncultured bacterium
Lineage: Bacteria
Description: partial 16S ribosomal RNA
Rfam family: Bacterial small subunit ribosomal RNA
Source: RNAcentral